GAGGUUGUGGCUCGGUGGUAGAGUGCUUGCCUCACACAUAGGAGGCCCUGGGUUCGAUCCUCAGCACCACA
This 71-nucleotide transfer RNA is filed under the name Marmota monax (woodchuck). RNAcentral's name for it is "tRNA.Val". It matches the Rfam family "tRNA". From Rfam's summary of the family: Transfer RNA (tRNA) molecules are approximately 80 nucleotides in length. The record is from RNAcentral. Lineage: Eukaryota; Metazoa; Chordata; Mammalia; Rodentia; Sciuridae.